GAUGAACGCUGGCGGCGUGCCUAAUACAUGCAAGUCGAGCGAACAGACGAGGAGCUUGCUCCUCUGACGUUAGCGGCGGACGGGUGAGUAACACGUGGAUAACCUACCUAUAAGACUGGGAUAACUUCGGGAAACCGGAGCUAAUACCGGAUAAUAUAUUGAACCGCAUGGUUCAAUAGUGAAAGACGGUUUUGCUGUCACUUAUAGCUGGAUCCGCGCCGCAUUAGCUAGUUGGUAAGGUAACGGCUUACCAAGGCAACGAUGCGUAGCCGACCUGAGAGGAUGAUCGGCCACACUGGAACUGAGACACGGUCCAGACUCCUACGGGAGGCAGCAGUAGGGAAUCUUGCGCAAUGGGCGAAAGCUUGACGGAGCAACGCCGCGUGAGUGAUGAAGGUCUUCGGAUCGUAAAACUCUGUUAUUAGGGAAGAACAAAUGUGUAAGUAACUAUGCACGUCUUGACGGUACCUAAUCAGAAAGCCACGGCUAACUACGUG
RNAcentral lists this ribosomal RNA (497 nucleotides) under uncultured bacterium. RNAcentral's name for it is "partial 16S ribosomal RNA". It matches the Rfam family "Bacterial small subunit ribosomal RNA", at positions 28 to 507 of the family's 1533-position model. The record is from RNAcentral.